Molecule: long non-coding RNA, 1140 nt
Filed under: Trifolium pratense (red clover)
Lineage: Eukaryota; Viridiplantae; Streptophyta; Magnoliopsida; Fabales; Fabaceae
Description: long non-coding RNA (TPRA_LNC009594)
Source: RNAcentral
CUUUAACAGUACCAUUGACACAUCCGGAGUUUGCUGAAAAACAGAAAUUGCAGCCACAACACUUCAAACCCGUAGCCCAAAAUUCUGCAUCAGACCCUGAACUUCAGAUGCGUCUCCUGAACUCAAUACUGCUCCAAAAUUCAUGAAAUUGGCGUCGAAACGACCGUACAUUCGUUAGUUAACCGUAGAAACAAACUCCAUACGAAACAGAUGUACAGAGAGUGAACAGUCACCGUUUUAGUGAGACCCUGUCCAGAAACACGAUUUUUGCACAGCCAUUCCAAUUCCUCUUGUUUUCUUAUUUCACCCAUCAAUUCUUAACUCCUCCCAAGUGCUCCAAGUUCAGUAAUUAGGAACAUGCAAUUACACCAAGAAGGACUUAGAGUCUAACAUAACCAAGAAAGAAAAGAAGAUGAGUUUGAUUCCUCUUACCUUAGAUUCCUAGUAACCCAAAGGCUUGAACUUGAGUAGGAUCUUUCACAUGCAAAUAUGAAUUUGAAGAAACUGAGUUUGGGGUUUAGGCUUGUUGUUUGGAUUUCGACCAAAUCAAAAGGAAUAGGGAAUAGAAGACUAAGAUGAGUUUCUCUCGUGAACUUUAGUGAGGGAAUUUAAUUUAGGGUUCUGAUGAAACAAAGGGGAAAGGAAUAGGUUGAAUUUCUCUCAUAUACCUUGAUUACCCAACAACAUACAAUGGUGGAAGGAAGCUUUAAUGGACACAUGCAUAGUCUCAUUGAAGAAUUAGAUGAACUUGACCAAUGAGAGAGAGGAUUUCGGCCAAGCUAAGGAAAAAGGGAAGAUUGGAGUUUCAAACAUCUUCUAUUAAUUUCUAAGAUUAAGGGUUAAUGUUUGAUGCUACAUGCAAAGCUUAAAACUUACACAAAGUGAGAAAGAUGGAGUAUGUAUGGGUUGCUUGUUCUGUUUGUUUUUCUAGAGAGAAAGAUGAAGAUGAGUAGUUGAAGAGAGAGAGCACGUGAGCUUUGAAGGAAAAGAGGAGGAGAUGAAACUGAUUUAUUCUCUUUCUUGACUUAACUUGUUAUAUACUAGUGGUUGUCUAGUUUCAAUAAAGGUUUGGGUCCAUUAUUUCUAGUGUUGGUGUUGUUGUUUUUGACGUGGGAGAAGAGAGAAAGUUUGCUGACAAUU